GUCUACGGCCACGCCACCCUGAACAAGCCCGAUCCUGUCUGAUCUCGGAAGCUCAGCAGGGUCGGGCCUGGUUAGUACUUGGAUGGGAGACCACCUAGGAGGACCAGGUGCUGUAGGUG
Molecule: ribosomal RNA, 119 nt
Filed under: Pteropus alecto (black flying fox)
Lineage: Eukaryota; Metazoa; Chordata; Mammalia; Chiroptera; Pteropodidae
Source: RNAcentral